GUGGGGAAUCUUAGACAAUGGGGGAAACCCUGAUCUAGCCAUGCCGCGUGAGCGAUGAAGGCCUUAGGGUUGUAAAGCUCUUUCAGCUGGGAAGAUAAUGACGGUACCAGCAGAAGAAGCCCCGGCUAACUCCGUGCCAGCAGCCGCGGUAAUACGGAGGGGGCUAGCGUUGUUCGGAAUUACUGGGCGUAAAGCGCGCGUAGGCGGUCCAGAAAGUUGGAGGUGAAAUCCCAGGGCUCAACCUUGGAACUGCCUUCAAAACUCCUGGUCUGGAGUUCGAGAGAGGUGAGUGGAAUUCCGAGUGUAGAGGUGAAAUUCGUAGAUAUUCGGAGGAACACCAGUGGCGAAGGCGGCUCACUGGCUCGAUACUGACGCUGAGGCACGAAAGUGUGGGGAUCAAACAGGAUUAGAAACCCCUGUAGUCC
This 425-nucleotide ribosomal RNA is filed under the name uncultured bacterium. RNAcentral describes it as "partial 16S ribosomal RNA". It matches the Rfam family "Bacterial small subunit ribosomal RNA", at positions 354 to 796 of the family's 1533-position model. The record is from RNAcentral.